Non-coding RNA from Coturnix japonica (Japanese quail), 2314 nucleotides. NCBI's taxonomy places the organism in Eukaryota, Metazoa, Chordata, Aves, Galliformes, Phasianidae. The record is from RefSeq and is a predicted model, not a curated record.
UUUCUUGCCCACCACAGCAGUGCCACAGUAAGUUGGGUGUCCUGCUUGAGCUGGCUGAAGGUGAAGUCCAUUUUCUACAUGCAGUGCGGUACAUUGUAAGUGAAACAGGGAUGCAAAGGGAUUGGAGGAGUAUAGAGGAGAGAUCUGGCACAGCUCCAGCUCUGGGCGUGCUGUGCUCCUGGGAGGAUCCAGGAGAUCCACCUUACCCAAAGCCAAUACAAACUACUCAAAGCUCAGUCAGAGGAUGCUUGAAUGAAGUUGGAAUCAAAUCCAUCCAUCUCCUUGGUUGUCAUGCAGGACAGCCCAGCAUCCUUGGCACCAGCAAGAGCACACAGGAGUGACAGAAGCCAUGGCCCACCUGCCUCCCCUCCUCUAAGCAUGGCCAUGUUUCUGUAAGGCACCAAGGUGGCGGAGAGUUGAAGCUCGCGGAUAUUGCAAAGGGUUAUUAGAUUCAUAAGUCACACCAAGUGGUGGGCGAUCCACUGAGCAAAGCAGAAGUUCUCACAUGAUGACUUCAAACAAGACACAUUACCUUCCAGCAUCUGUUGGAGAGACCAGGUUUUAAGACACUUCUGUCUCCAGGACAGCAAAGAAACAAUGUCAGCAGGAGGAAGAAGACACUGGAUGUCAAUGUGAGCACCAUACAGAGGACAUGCCGUGGCACUGACACAAUGGAUUUGAAGCACUACAGUCACUUGGCUGAAAUAACUAGGAGCAGGUCCUACUUAGUGCCCUUCUCCAGCAUCCGCAAUGGGGGCUGUCUUCAUUGGGCACCCAUGGGAAGCAGCGGUACUGUGGAUCCUUGCAUAUGGAUGUGGAAAUGAGGCUUUCUGGGUACCUCUAAGCUUGAAUUACAUCUUGUAGAAAGAGAGUCUCUGACCAGGGAAGUGUCUCCCCAUAAGGAUUUCUGUAUGCUUCACAAACUAGGACUUCACAGGCCCAGUCUUUUGGGGCUCCUUCAUACAGCAUUCUCCUGGAAGUCAACGUCUGCUGAAAACUAAGGAGCCCACAUUUGUAUGUGCAUUAGAACGCAAAGCAGAUCAUUAUUUACACCACUUUUUCAUUUUCCCGGCCAUCGAGCACUGACUGGUAAUAAUCCCCCAAGGGCUGAUUAUCCUGGCAAGAUGCAGCAGCACUCUGACCACACCUCUUCCCUAGGAAGAUCUCAGUACUGAGGCAAAAGACAGAGUGCUGGCAGAGCGGGAAUUUCAACACUUGGUUGCCUUCCUGGAACCGAUGGUCUUCAUGUCCACAGCAGAGCAGAGCUGAAUGCAUCUACCACCACGAUUUGUCGUGCAGUCCAGAACAUGCUCCCUUUCCAAAAUUAAAAGCUUGCUUUGAUUGCAAGCAGGCUUUCUGAACACGAGCUCUCCCCCUCGCUCCUGAGAGCAAGCCAGCAGAUGCUUUAGCGUCUCUACAGCACGACAUUCACUGCUGCUCAUCUGCAUGUCUGGUGUAAGAGAAGAGUCCCUCCUCCAGGAAUAACGUGUGUGUAAUGUAUUACGUUACAGCUAAUUAAAGCAGCCCCUGCUGCUGUUCAGCUUGACUGGUGGAUCAUUCAAAUAUUUGCAGGCAUUGUCCUAUGAACGCCGAAUAUUAAAGCUCUGCCAGCUCAGCCUCCUCACGAUGCAAAAAGCAGCUCAGAACACGCCACCUCGAGUGCCAUCAGGCACCGCUGUGACACGGCUGUACCUGGAAAGCUGAACUGUGUAGCAGGUAGAAGCCCAGCGUGCAAAUGAAAUGCAGAUAGCACCGUGGUGUGUUCCAGCUGCGCUCCCCUUGUUGGAGGCUGCACACAAAGGUCCACCUUGCAGCGCCAGCAAGCGGUACGAGGCUAUGCAGGUACAUGACGAGGGAAAGCAAUGGCUGACCCAUUCCUAAUGGAAUUUUGGAGGAGGAGGACUCGAGGUGCGAUUUUUAAAGAAGUUCUUAAAGCUGCAAAGGAUAUUAACCACCGGGAUUGUUUCCCUUAAUAUAUAUUAAAAGCAGUUUUAUAGAGGAGGCCUUCGGCGCGCUCAGGUUUCAAACACCGGGGCUGUUUUACGACGCCGCCGAUCCAAUAAAUGCAGGUGUUUCAUCCUGCAGCACGGCCUGCCCGGGGGCAGCAAUGAGACGCCCACAUUUCUCCCAGCACAAAGGAGUGGGUGCGACCCUCAGCCCAGAGGUGUUGAUCGCAGCGGGGAGAAGUGCUCUCGGGACGCUGGUCGUGUGGAAGGGUGAAAGCCCGAUCCUUGAGGGAACACGGGACGGGUGAUGCUGUCUUUACCGAGAUCGGAUGGAGCCACUCAAUCAGGGACUGCCAUUGCUGCGCACU